This 420-nucleotide ribosomal RNA is filed under the name Triticum aestivum (bread wheat). RNAcentral's name for it is "partial small subunit ribosomal RNA". The record is from RNAcentral. Lineage: Eukaryota; Viridiplantae; Streptophyta; Magnoliopsida; Poales; Poaceae.
AUGAUAGCCACCUAUGGCUCCUUUUGUAACACAAACAUAAUACUUCUUUGCAUAAAUGGAUCUAGUCGUGUGUGGUUUCAUCAUGCUAUGGCAGCUCCUUCAGACAACAUUUCAUCGUUUGUGGCUCCGCAAGCUAAUAAUACAUGGCAUAGGUUCUGUCCUAUUGGCUUGGUACGUUCCAUAUCCCCUUCCCGAGUCUGCCCUGCUCUGCUCUGCUCAUCUGAUAUGUACAUUUUGGCUCACGGCCAUGGCCUCCCCCAAAUUUUGCUCAAUUCAUUAACUAGGCAAGUUGGUUUGGUGGCUGACUGUUGCUGCAUGAAACUGCUCAAUUAUUUGUCCUUCCCAAUACCAGCCUCUGAUCAGUACAGGUUGGAGGGACAUUUCCGGAAUCACAUAUAUAUAGUGGUUGCUUCCAAAUGA